Molecule: ribosomal RNA, 468 nt
Filed under: uncultured bacterium
Lineage: Bacteria
Description: partial 16S ribosomal RNA
Rfam family: Bacterial small subunit ribosomal RNA
Source: RNAcentral
GACGAACGCUGGCGGCGUGCUUAACACAUGCAAGUCGAACGGAAAGGCCCUGCUUUUGUGGGGUGCUCGAGUGGCGAACGGGUGAGUAACACGUGAGUAACCUGCCCUUGACUUUGGGAUAACUUCAGGAAACUGGGGCUAAUACCGGAUAGGAGCUCCUGCUGCAUGGCGGGGGUUGGAAAGUUUCGGCGGUUGGGGAUGGACUCGCGGCUUAUCAGCUUGUUGGUGGGGUAGUGGCUUACCAAGGCUUUGACGGGUAGCCGGCCUGAGAGGGUGACCGGCCACAUUGGGACUGAGAUACGGCCCAGACUCCUACGGGAGGCAGCAGUGGGGAAUAUUGCACGAUGGGCGGAAGCCUGAUGCAGCAACGCCGCGUGCGGGAUGACUGCCUUCGGGUUGUAAACCGCUUUCGCCUGUGACGAAGCGUGAGUGACGGUAAUGGGUAAAGAAGCACCGGCUAACUACGUG